This 282-nucleotide unclassified non-coding RNA is filed under the name plant metagenome. RNAcentral describes it as "partial contains small subunit ribosomal RNA, internal transcribed spacer 1, and 5.8S ribosomal RNA". The stretch from base 235 to 282 matches the Rfam family "5.8S ribosomal RNA", at positions 1 to 49 of the family's 154-position model. The record is from RNAcentral.
UUUCCGUAGGUGAACCUGCGGAAGGAUCAUUAUUGUAUAACCGAGGUGCGAGGGCUGUCGCUGACCCGAAAGGUCGUGCACGCCCAAGUGCCCUCACACACAUCCAUCUCACCCCUAUGUGCACCACCGCGUGGGUCCCCCUUUGGCUUGUUCGGAGGGGGGCUUACGUUUUCACACAAACUUUGUAUGCAGUGUAGAAUGUAUUUUUUGUUUUUGCGAUCACGCAAUCAAUACAACUUUCAACAACGGAUCUCUUGGCUCUCGCAUCGAUGAGAACGCAGC